This is a long non-coding RNA of Fukomys damarensis (Damara mole-rat), 364 nucleotides long. RefSeq lists it as uncharacterized. The transcript is spliced from 3 exons. The record is from RefSeq and is a predicted model, not a curated record. Lineage: Eukaryota; Metazoa; Chordata; Mammalia; Rodentia; Bathyergidae.
CCCUCUGGCGAUCCAGCGCUCCAGAACCUUGUUCUGCGAGGGGGCUCGUGGACGACAACAGCUGGCUUUCCUGCUUCUCCACCUUAUGGAUGACAAACCCCAGGAUCUUUCAGCCUCUUACAGAUGAUGCUUGUCUCUCUGGGCUGCAUUUGGGAUGAUUCCUCCGAUGUGCCACUCUUAGACGUCACGGAAUCACUACUACAAACUAAGGGAUGCACCGACUAUGUACACACAGGGCCAGCUUUGAGGAAUCUGGGAUGGCUUUCAGAAGCUUUAUGUGUUUAUACACCUUUCCCCAUGGGCCGUCACUCGGAGAGAACAGCUGCACCAAAUUCCAGACAGCAAACUUCUGAACCAUGAAACC